RNAcentral lists this ribosomal RNA (253 nucleotides) under uncultured bacterium. RNAcentral's name for it is "partial 16S ribosomal RNA". It matches the Rfam family "Bacterial small subunit ribosomal RNA", at positions 524 to 776 of the family's 1533-position model. The record is from RNAcentral.
UACGUAGGGACCAAGCGUUGUUCGGAAUCACUGGGCGUAAAGGGCGCGUAGGCGGCCGAUCAAGUCGGGGGUGAAAGCCUGUGGCUCAACCACAGAAUUGCCUUCGAUACUGUUUGGCUUGAGACCGGAAGAGGUUAGUGGAACUGCGAGUGUAGAGGUGAAAUUCGUAGAUAUUCGCAAGAACACCAGUGGCGAAGGCGGCUGACUGGUCCGGUUCUGACGCUGAGGUGCGAAAGCGUGGGGAGCAAACAGG